UUGUCAGUGAGGUUAAUCCUUACCUGUUCCUCCUCUGGGAGAAACAGCACAUGAUGAAUGGAGGAGACUGAGUUGCUGAUUACUCUGUACUCCGGCCCUGCCUGGUGCGGCAACACUUCCCAGCCAGAGCCAUUCUGAU
This is a small nucleolar RNA of Xenopus tropicalis (tropical clawed frog), 139 nucleotides long. Its record names the gene U8. It matches the Rfam family "U8 small nucleolar RNA". From Rfam's summary of the family: U8 is a member of the C/D class of snoRNA which contain the C (UGAUGA) and D (CUGA) box motifs. U8 is the RNA component of a small complex (the U8 snoRNP) which is required for accumulation of mature large subunit ribosomal RNAs, 5.8S and 28S rRNAs. U8 RNA has been identified in human, mouse, rat and Xenopus. The record is from Ensembl. NCBI's taxonomy places the organism in Eukaryota, Metazoa, Chordata, Amphibia, Anura, Pipidae.